GGAUAUGCACAAUGGGGGAAACCUGCAUGCAGCUAUACCGCGUGUGUGAUGAAGGUCUUAGGAUUGUAAAACACUUUCAGCAAGGGAAAAAAUUAAUAUAAAUAAUACUUAUAUUAACUGAUAUUACCUGCAAAAGAAGUACCGGCUAACUCCGUGCCAGCAGCCGCGGUAAUACGGAGGGUACAAGCGUUAAUCGGAAUUAUUGGGCGUAAAGAGUACGUAGGUGGUAUAUUAAGUCAGAUGUGAAAUACUUAAGCUUAACUUAAGAACUGCAUUUGAAACUAAUAAACUAGAGUUUUAUAGAGGGGAGUAGAAUUCCAAGUGUAGCGGUGAAAUGCGUAGAUAUUUGGAGGAAUACCAGAGGCGAAGGCGACUCCCUGGGUAAUAACUGACACUGAGGUACGAAAGCUUGGGGAGCAAACAGGAUUAGAUACCCUGGUAGUCCAUGCUGUAAACGAUGUCAAUUUGAAGAUUGUAAUAUUAUUAUUUUUCUAUAAUUUCUCGUAGCUAACGCAUUAAAUUGACCGCCUGGGGAUUACGACCGCAAGGUUAAAACUCAAAUGCAAUUGACCGGGGACCCGCACAAGCGGUGGAGCAUGUGGUCUUAAUUCGAUACAACCGCGAAAACACCUUACCUAACCUCCUUUGAACAUUCGUAAUAACGUU
RNAcentral lists this ribosomal RNA (666 nucleotides) under endosymbiont of Sphenophorus levis. RNAcentral's name for it is "bacterial SSU rRNA". It matches the Rfam family "Bacterial small subunit ribosomal RNA", at positions 359 to 1011 of the family's 1533-position model. The record is from RNAcentral. Lineage: Bacteria; Pseudomonadati; Pseudomonadota; Gammaproteobacteria.